This 464-nucleotide ribosomal RNA is filed under the name Streptococcus thermophilus. RNAcentral's name for it is "bacterial SSU rRNA". It matches the Rfam family "Bacterial small subunit ribosomal RNA", at positions 338 to 795 of the family's 1533-position model. The record is from RNAcentral. Lineage: Bacteria; Bacillati; Bacillota; Bacilli; Lactobacillales; Streptococcaceae.
CCUACGGGAGGCAGCAGUAGGGAAUCUUCGGCAAUGGGGGCAACCCUGACCGAGCAACGCCGCGUGAGUGAAGAAGGUUUUCGGAUCGUAAAGCUCUGUUGUUUUCAAGAACGGGUGUGAGAGUGGAAAGUUCACACUGUGACGGUAGCUUACCAGAAAGGGACGGCUAACUACGUGCCAGCAGCCGCGGUAAUACGUAGGUCCCGAGCGUUGUCCGGAUUUAUUGGGCGUAAAGCGAGCGCAGGCGGUUUGAUAAGUCUGAAGUUAAAGGCUGUGGCUCAACCAUAGUUCGCUUUGGAAACUGUCAAACUUGAGUGCAGAAGGGGAGAGUGGAAUUCCAUGUGUAGCGGUGAAAUGCGUAGAUAUAUGGAGGAACACCGGUGGCGAAAGCGGCUCUCUGGUCUGUAACUGACGCUGAGGCUCGAAAGCGUGGGGAGCGAACAGGAUUAGAUACCGUGGUAGUC